GAUGAACGCUGGCGGCGUGCCUAAUACAUGCAAGUCGAGCGAGGAGGGGGAGGGAGAGGUACGCGUGGAUAACCUCCUAUAGGACUGCAAUAACUUCGGGAAACCGGUGCUAAUCCUGAUAAUUAUGGUUUGAUCCGCGCUGCAUGAGCUAGUUGGUAAGGUAACGGCUUACAAAGGCAACGAUGCAUAGCCGACCUGAGAGGGGGAUCGGCCACACUGGAAGUGAGACACGGUCCAGACGCCUACGCGAGGCAGCAGUAGGGAAUCUUCCGCAAUGGGCGAAAGCCUGACGGAGCAACGCCGCGUGAGUGAUGAAGGUCUUCGGAUCGUAAAACUCUGUUAUGAGGGAAGCGGUACCUAAUCAGAAAGCCACGGCUAACUACGUGCCAGCAGCCGCGGUAAUUC
This 405-nucleotide ribosomal RNA is filed under the name uncultured bacterium. Its description in RNAcentral is "partial 16S ribosomal RNA". It matches the Rfam family "Bacterial small subunit ribosomal RNA", at positions 28 to 526 of the family's 1533-position model. The record is from RNAcentral.